This 508-nucleotide ribosomal RNA is filed under the name uncultured bacterium. RNAcentral's name for it is "partial 16S ribosomal RNA". It matches the Rfam family "Bacterial small subunit ribosomal RNA", at positions 28 to 523 of the family's 1533-position model. The record is from RNAcentral.
GAUGAACGCUAGCUACAGGCUUAACACAUGCAAGUCGAGGGGAAACGACAUCGAAAGCUUGCUUUUGAUGGGCGUCGACCGGCGCACGGGUGAGUAACGCGUAUCCAACCUGCCCACCACUUGGGAAUAACCUUGCGAAAGUAAGACUAAUACCCAAUGAUAUCCCACGAAGGCAUCCGAAUGGGAUUAAAGAUUUAUCGGUGAUGGAUGGGGAUGCGUCUGAUUAGCUUGUUGGCGGGGUAACGGCCCACCAAGGCGACGAUCAGUAGGGGUUCUGAGAGGAAGGUCCCCCACAUUGGAACUGAGACACGGUCCAAACUCCUACGGGAGGCAGCAGUGAGGAAUAUUGGUCAAUGGGCGAGAGCCUGAACCAGCCAAGUAGCGUGCAGGAUGGCGGCCCUAUGGGUUGUAAACUGCUUUUAUAAGGGAAUAAAGUGAGUCUCGUGAGACUUUUUGCAUGUACCUUAUGAAUAAGGACCGGCUAAUUCCGUGCCAGCAGCCGCCGUAA